RNAcentral lists this ribosomal RNA (433 nucleotides) under uncultured bacterium. RNAcentral's name for it is "partial 16S ribosomal RNA". It matches the Rfam family "Bacterial small subunit ribosomal RNA", at positions 29 to 507 of the family's 1533-position model. The record is from RNAcentral.
AACGAACGCUGGCGGCAUGCCUAACACAUGCAAGUCGAACGAGACCUUCGGGUCUAGUGGCGCACGGGUGCGUAACGCGUGGGAACCUGCCCUUAGGUUCGGAAUAACUCCCCGAAAGGGGUGCUAAUACCGGAUAAUGUCUUCGGACCAAAGAUUUAUCGCCUUUGGAUGGGCCCGCGUUGGAUUAGCUAGUUGGUAGGGUAAAAGCCUACCAAGGCGACGAUCCAUAGCUGGUCUGAGAGGAUGAUCAGCCACACUGGGACUGAGACACGGCCCAGACUCCUACGGGAGGAAGCAGUGGGGAAUAUUGGACAAUGGGCGAAAGACUGAUCCAGCAAUGCCGCGUGAGUGAUGAAGGCCUUAGGGUUGUAAAGCUCUUUUACCCGGGAUGAUAAUGACAGUACCGGGAGAAUAAGCUCCGGCUAACUCCGUG